Octodon degus (degu) is the source of this 107-nucleotide small nuclear RNA. The record is from Ensembl. NCBI's taxonomy places the organism in Eukaryota, Metazoa, Chordata, Mammalia, Rodentia, Octodontidae.
GUGCUUGCUUCAGCAGCUUAUAUACUAAAAUUGGAACAAUACAGAAAGAUUAGCAUGGCCCCUGCAUGAGGAUAGGACACAAGAUGUAAGACACAGGUCUCAGAAUU